RNAcentral lists this ribosomal RNA (404 nucleotides) under uncultured bacterium. RNAcentral's name for it is "bacterial SSU rRNA". It matches the Rfam family "Bacterial small subunit ribosomal RNA", at positions 355 to 776 of the family's 1533-position model. The record is from RNAcentral.
UUGGGAAUCUUGGACAAUGGGGGAAACCCUGAUCCAGCCAUGCCGCGUGAGUGAUGAAGGCCUUCGGGUUGUAAAACUCUUUCGACGGGGACGAUAAUGACGGUACCCGUAGAAGAAGCUCCGGCUAACUUCGUGCCAGCAGCCGCGGUAAUACGAAGGGGGCUAGCGUUGUUCGGAAUUACUGGGCGUAAAGCGCGCGCAGGCGGCUAUCCAAGUCAGUGGUGAAAGCCCGGAGCUCAACUCCGGAACUGCCAUUGAAACUGUUUAGCUUGAGGACGAGAGAGGUGAGUGGAAUUCCCAGUGUAGAGGUGAAAUUCGUAGAUAUUGGGAAGAACACCGGUGGCGAAGGCGGCUCACUGGCUCGUAUCUGACGCUCAGGCGCGACAGCGUGGGGAUCAAACAGG